This is a long non-coding RNA of Pseudopipra pipra, 8928 nucleotides long. RefSeq lists it as uncharacterized. The record is from RefSeq and is a predicted model, not a curated record. The transcript is spliced from 4 exons. Lineage: Eukaryota; Metazoa; Chordata; Aves; Passeriformes; Pipridae.
AGACCAAAGAGACUCACUGCAGGGAGUGGAGCAUUAGGAACUGUUUCAGUCCUUCAGCAACAUAUGGCCAAAGACGGGCUGAGGGAGUUUUCAGACAAAGAAAACAGCUGCAGUCUGAGGGUACAAAUGCCACUUUCACUGGGGAGAUGAUGGGACUUCAUGCUAUUAUCUUGGUCCAGUUCAAUUCCUUCUUGUUGCAAGCUGCACUUCAGUGACAUGGAGACCUUCCCUGGGUGCUCCCCUGAGAAGGAAGCCCUGACCCACCCAGGGAGGCCAGCCCAAAAAGGAGGACAGCUGGGAGAUGAACAGAUCUCCUCCACACUCCUGUCUAUGUCUGGGAAAAUGGCUUUCAGCUCUGAGGCACUCCCCAAGUAACUUGAGUCGUGGCAGUGUGAGUCCUCAAAGCUCAGUCCAGCAGCCAGAGACCAUCAGGUGAUGAAUGAAUCCUGUCUGGACUCCGGCUUUGUAAGGAAAGCAGAAAGGCUUAAGGUGUAUGGCAAAUUCAUCAGAAUAUGAUGCAAACAUUUCAAACCUGUGCAAGAGCAUCAGUUUUCUGAAAAUGGUUAAAAGAAACUCUGAACCUCUUUUUUUUCCAGGUUGGUAUUGAUGUAUUUACAGAAUAUGGUAUUACAGAGGCUGCAAUAAUUCUUUGAUAAUGCAGUGCAUACCUGCUGUUUGAAGAACUGAUUUUUGUAUCGGAACAUAAAGCACAAAAUUUUUUUUUCUCAUUAGCAUGAAGGACUUCUAAUGUAUAAAUUGCAAUUGCAGGAACAAAGGCAAAUCAACCUUUCCUUCAGAUUAUGAUCUUCAAAGUCAGAGAAGAGCUACAUCGGUGUUCAACUCUUCCAUACGGCGCAAGUAAAUCGAAGAAAUGCCCCUAUUCAGCAAGGGCAAAGCCUUACAGAUAACCUUUCCUUCCUCUUUAAGCCUACUGCCUUCCAUCCAUUAGUGAUGGGUACUGCAAACUGCAGCCACAUCACUGAAUCUGACAAAGUUAUGCUGAACCCAGAGGGAUUAUGGUGAUUUGCCUGUAAUUUCUGGACUUCAGCAAACACACAAAUGCAUUUAUGAAGUACUGACUAUCCUUUCAGCUAACUCUUCAUUAAAAUGUAUUUAGAUGUCCUUCAAAAGAAAAAAAAUCAUCUUACAGUGAAACUCAAACUGGCUGAUUCCCAGGCUUACAGUUACUUUCCUAUCAAGAAUUAAUGCAAUAUCAUGCACACACCAUUACUGAAAAAUUCUACGCUGUUUUUUGCCAAGUGUUCCUAUAUAACAGUUUUAUCACAAGUCUGACAGCCGCCAUAAAAAUUCCAGGCAUUCUAUAUCAACAGCCCUCUUUGUACUAAGUUAUUAAACAUUAAAUUUUUAUUCGUCAUUUGUAUUCUGUUAUGCAAAAUAAGCUCCUUGAUAAGAUGUGUCUUCUUAAUUGGGCCCUUGAUGCUUCUUGGAUUGGAGUUGUCAGAUUAGCUGGAAGAAGAGGCUCUGCAUUGAGCCAGCUCGCUACCAGGAGACCAAUAGCUUUGUAACAACGAUAUUAAGUUAGAGGGGCCAAAUGGAGGGCAGCACUAGGCUCAGGUGAGACUCUACAUCUGUGCAUGUCUUAUGCUCAGGCACUUUUCUCAUAGCAUCAGCAGGGCUGAUGGAAAUAGAUUUGUUUGUUGUUUACAGCAUGCAGCUGUGGAUGCUGCUGCAUGGGAGUUGUAUAAGAUUGAAGCAAAUUUGUACUGAGACUAAAAUAUUGAGCUUUUCUCCAGUCAGCAGUCUCUGGAAUCUUAUUGUUGAAAACUUUAUCUAGUUGUAACCCUCCCCAGGGUGAUUUUUGUUUGCAGCUGCCCUGCUCUCUCUCACUGCCUAUCCCACACUGCCUUCACCUCAGCCAGCACAGGAGUGGGCUCCUGGUGCAGGAGGUAGUGGCUGGGCCAGGCAGAAGUAAUGACAAUUGGGUCAAGCAUUUUGUACACUGGGUUUUCCAGAAAGCUUUUUCAUUCCCACAAAUCCCUUCGACAGCUGUCAUUAGGAGACAUCAUUAUUUUCUUCCCUCUUAGCUACAAGCUGCAGAAAGGGCUCAACAUUUAGUGUGGCACUUGGUGGCAAAGCAUAGAAAAUCUCUAAGCACAUGGAGAAAAAAAAAAGAAAGCCCUCAUCAAAACGUAGGAUUUAUAAUUUUCAUAAGGUAGACCAGUUCUAACAGAAGUAUAGCAUGUUUCCAGGUUGGUGCUAGGAAUAUACUUGAUUAAAGCCUCUGGUAUUUUUUUUUUUUACUGAAUUCUCCUGUAAUUCUGAAAAAAAAAGACUCCCUCAUUUUAUCAGUUAUUGGCUGUGUUACAGCCAGACAUGGAGACCUCACCAACAUCUGUGCUUUGAGCAGGAGCAGAGCUGCUGCCUCAUUAGAGCAGCUGGGCCAGGAGAGUGUGAAGGGAGUCACCUUUCCAGUUUGCAGAUGGGAAGCAGAGGGUCAAUGGUAUGACCAAAGUCACACUUGGAGGCUGAGGUGGAACAACACAGCGAACGGAAACUUGUCACAUUUCAACCAUCAGACCUUCUGCUUGUCAUAAUUAAAAAAGGUUUAUUUAGUAUUUAGCAAAAUAUUACAUCUCAGGAUGUUGUUUGACCUGCCAGAGCACAUUGCUUUGUUUUCCUAAACAUUAUAAAUCCUUCUGUAAUUUUCAUUUAAGACACGCUGUGGGGUUGUUUUUUUUUUUUCAGAUUUUUGGCACAAAAAUAACUUAGAAAUAUUGGCAUGUAAUAUUAUGGGGAUUUAGUAACCUAUUGCUGUGAGAUUCUUUUGGAUUGUUAUCUAGGAAACAUUUAGUGUUUUUAAUGUGGACUUUUUUGAAAGAAGCCUUUUAAAUGAGUGCAAACCCUAAUCCAAUGAAUGUGCUAGUGUACAUUUUCAUUUCAGUACACCUGCUGCAGUUUAACUUAUGGGUGACGUAAAGGAAUAGAAGCAGUCUCAGCUCUUUUACUAACUUCUCUUUAGCCACAGUGAUUUUUUCUAAGUACUUCAUCUCUAUGGAACGUUUGACUGAAGUUUUGAUAUCCAUCUGGAGAAACAAUUUCUUUAGAAGAAAGAAGGCUGUAUAUUGACCCUAUGCAGAGCUGUCUAGUUUUGAAUGAAGGCCUUCUGCAAACCUCUCUGUGUUUGCUCACACACGUCCCCACACAGGCUCCAUGACUACAAGGCUGUUGUGGAUCACUGGCUAUUGCAGCAGCAGGACUGAGAAUAUUAGUUUGCACCUAACAUGUUUUGUGCUUUUAGCUGGGACAAGGGUCAAACAGCGGAGGCACGGUAGGGGAAAAGGCAGCUGUAACAUCCAAAGACAUUACAAAGAUGUGUCAAGACAUCCUUUCUUUCUGUUAUGUGUGUGAAGAUCUGCUUGCUUGCUUUCAGGCUAAGGACACCUAUUCCUCCUAGGGAAACCUUCCCAUUCUAAGGCCACCUAUGCCAGACCUGUGUUCAAAGACAAGAAAAAGUCAUGUGGUUCCUGCUAAGGCAAUAAAACCACUCAGUGACAAUGAGGAAGAUGUAGCUGGGAGGUGUCCCAGCUUCGGCAUCUCUCACGUCUCAAGGGUGAGGCAGCAGUAGGUGUUGGCAGUUCCCUCCCCAGCUCUACAGUCAGCUCCUGAGAGAGGGAGGACAGGAGCAAAGAAGGUGUGCAUUUCCAGCAUUGCUCCGUUAUGCAUUCAGAGCAUUUUCCCUGAGGCAGGGAGGAGCUGCUUGCUCACUCCCUGCCCUGUGCUCUGCCCAGCACAGCUGGAGCAACCCUGUUGAUGCUGACAGCACUGAAUUUCCUAGAUGUGACCUCCACACCUUCCAGGAAUAGAAUUUUAAAGGAGCUUCUGUGCCUAAUUUCCAGAUUUGAAAAGUUGUUCUGCACCUUACUGUGCUUAGAACUGAAGCUGUAGGCAUGUCCUGCAGGUCAGUCAUGGGCAUGUGCACUUGUGUGUGGCUAUUCUGUCUCUCGUCCUUCCCUUCCAUCUUCAGCUCUGAAGGGUGAAGGGCACUUGGCUCAGAGCCUGGCAGCUGACCAGGUGGUGUGCACCAGUGCCAGGAGAGGAUUGCUGGGGCACAGUAUCCUGCCAAAGGUCACACUCUGGUAGGUUGGUGGCAGAGAUAGCCCUGAGCCAUCCGUUUCAGGACCAUCUCAGCUGUCUGAGACUGAAUGUUAUCUGCAGCCUUCCCUGAAGAGAGUUGUUUUAGCUGCCAUUUAGCUUAGAAACAUAAGGCUCCUUCCUUGACUCAGAAAAGUCUUUCUGACAACACUUGAGACAGUUUUUGAGCCUUGUUUAUAGAAAAUUACAAAGAUUUCUAAAGGAGGAAUGGAGAGAGUCUUUAAAUUCUGGGGAGAGCAUACUCUUAUCUGCAGAAUUAAAACCCACAGUCCUGACUGGCUUAAUGGAUACCUUACAUCUCUAAUAAUUCUUUCAAGAUACACCAGCUAACCCAUGUGAUUUCAGCAGCCAUGGCUCCAGCAUCUGGCUGUGUUUUGACGUUUCGAAGAUGUAGAGGUAUUGUGUGGAAUUGCAAUGUUUUUGCUCAAACGUCAGUGAUAAUAUUCCUGGCAUGCUCUAGCAGUGGAUAUUCCUGUACCUCGGUACCUCAUUAUCUGCAGAUGCCAUAAUGAGAAUAUGAACGCUGUCAAUCACUUUGAGACACUUGUGAAAGCAGUAACACAGGAAAGCUUUCCUUGAUUUUUUUCUUACUGCCCUGUGUUGGUUGGCUGGGAAAAUCAGUGGACAUAAGGAACUGCAACUUUGUUUGGCCUGUUCUUAAACUUGGAUCUGUCAGGUCUCAGGCCACUCUCCUUGAAUAUGUCCAGUUGAUCUUUCCUUCAGAGGGAUCAAAUGACACACAGGGAACUCUCCUGGAGACUUUCAGACAGCUGUUACCUGUAAGACAGGUUGUGGGGGACUUCAGUGGUUCAUCCCAGAUAUGACCACUGAUGCAAGAUAAUUCUUAAUUAUAGCAUUAAGAUUUAUGUACUUUUCCUACUGUUUUACUUCAAGACUACAUAGGCAGCUCAGGUUCAAAGUAGAAAAAUCAUACUUUCUAACCCAACAGUAUUCAAAAAGCUUGAGGAGAACAGGCUAUCCCUGGAAACCAUCUUUUCAUCCAGAAGGGCUUUCCCAAGCUACAUGUGUGAAGGUUUUUAAUAAGUUUUAUGAAAUCCCUACAGAUGUAGAUACAAAACAUCUGCAAUACUUGACAGCUUCACAGAUUUAUUGAAGUUAUUUCUGAAAGGCAUAUUCUGUAAGUAAACAUCUUGCAGUUCCUAAUUAUCAAAAGGGGAAAUAGUUUGACUAGUCUCUCCUUAUUUUUUGCUCAUUUCAGUUUGACAUCCAUGGAAUAUUGGGUAGAUAAUAUUAAUCUUCCUUGACUUUGAUGUCUAAAAGUUAGACAAUUAAGUCUGAGCUAGUUACCCUUUAAAGUCAGUGGAGUGAAACAGGGCAGUUUGUGCUAAGACAGAGUCUUAGUAUUGGUCAAAUGAGUUGGAUUUAUAGUCUCCACUGAUUAUAAAAAAGGAUGUAGCUUAGCGACUAGUGCAGGCUCCACAGUUGACUUUACAUAUUUAAUGCUGGCUGAGAAUGAUUCCACCCAUCACUUGCCAAAAUAUUGCUCCAUGCACUUGUGUUUCCUACACAUCUGGCAAAGAGCCUGCAGAAGCUGAGGUGGUUCUCUGGGGGUGCUGGCCGGGGGUCUCACCUCACCUGGUUAUGUUGCAAACCAGCCCAGCAAAACCUCCUUUCACCUCAGCAGUGCCCUGGUGCCCCUGAUGAUGUACUGUGUGCUGGAGGGGGCAAUGAUGACUCUGGUAAAGUGGAUAAUAAUCUAAAUCAGGUGUAGGGAAGCAUCUCUGUUUCCCUGAGGAAAGAUCACUGCAUCCUUGGCCAAAUGGGGUCCCAGCCUUUGGGUCUGCUCUGCUCCUGCAGGAUGAGGUGAGAGCCAAAGAGCUUUUUGGAGAGUUUCAGGAAGUUGCUCAUGUAUUACUCUCCUCUGUUUUAAUUAAUAAAUUAAUGAAUUCAAUGUUGAUUUUGCAAUGCUCUUUUGAGAAGGCAUGAUAAAGAGUAAUCACGAAUGGGUUGGUGGAAGGCUGAAAGUGGAUUAGGAUUCACAGAUGAUGAGGAAGGUGCCCACAGGUGGGAGGUGACACAACUGGGUAGCAGAGCAGAAGUGUUGGGUUUCAUUGCUGGGUGCAUCCCUGGCCUUCUGGGCAGCUUCUGGUUUUAUCAUUGCACCCCCCUAGACUGACCACACUUGAACAAUUCUGUUGAGCUUUUUUUCUGUAAACUGGUUGGAUUUCCAUUCUGGACCUAUUGAGCCCCUUUGUAUUUUACAUCACUUUUGCUACAAGUCGUUUGAGCACAGCUCCUCACAUCCUACCCUUGCAUUUAACAUGAACGUAAUUUAGCAUAAAGGUGAACUCGAUUUUAUCAUUUCAUCAGGGCUCUACACUGAAAUUUAAACAUGAUGUGUGUUUUUGCUGAAUUCAUUUUACCUGUAUAAUCUCUCAUUAGAAUGGUAUUGCCUUCCAGAGGGUCACUGCAGACUUGCACUGAGAUCAUUUUGUCACUGCAAGCUUGUGUGAUAAUGGGAUUACCAUAGGCAUGUUUUGAAAUUGUUCUAAGAUUGCUGUGAGGAUGUUAAGUCCGUGUGCAAGAGUUUGCCUCGCUAAGAGUAGCACAAACCAAGCUAGAAAACCUGAGAAAUGUAAAUGUGUUACAGAAAGGAAUACACUUGACAUAUCUUGCUCAUGACAAGAAUCAUUUGUGUUUCUAGAAGUUUUGCAACAGGCAUAAAAGUAAAUGAGGAAUAUGUGAUAGAAAUUAAAUAUUUAUUACAGGUCAGAUUUACAUAUAUACACGAAAAUAAAUACAGAGAAAUGCAAAUGGAGUUACUAUCAGUGUCUAUAGAAGCAAAUGCUGAUAUCAAUACCUACUUAAACAGCUGCAUGUGGCACCACAUUUCAUCAGAGCAAUAAUGGUGUCUGUCUGCUGGGGCUGGCCAAUUGGAAUAACAGGAUAAUUUAGGUUGGAAAAGGCCUCCAAGAUCAUUUAGUCCAGCCUUUGACUGAUCCCUGCCUUGUCAGAGCACUGAGUGCCACCUCCAGUUGUUUCCUGAACUCCUCCAGGGAGGGUGACUCCACCACCUCCCUGAGCAGCCUGUUCCAAUCUUUAAACACCUUUUCCAUGAAGAAAUUCUUCCUGAUGUCCAACCUAAUCCUCCUCUGGUGCAACGUGAGUCUAUGUUCUCUUGUCCUGUUGCUAUUCCAAAAAUUGUGUCAUUUUUUAAUUGUUAAGUAAAAAUGUCCCACUACCAUCAUUAGCAUCAGUAUCCUGGUAUAUAUAUAGUCAUGUAUGAUUUCUUGUUUGAAAUGCUGAUAACUAUCAUAUGCAGAAGUUCUGAUCAAAUAGAAAGUGAAAGAGCCCAUAAAAUUAAUGUCAUGGAAAUAAAGAAUUAUUACAGCGUACUCAAAUUUUAAACAAGUAAUGGGAAGUAUUUAAUUUCUGCUUAUCAUUUCUGAUGCUGUUUGUAUUCUUAAGGCCUAUUUAAUUAAAGAGAGCUUGUGUCUCCUUUUGGGAAAAUAAAAUAACUCCACCCAGAGAGGUGUAUUAUAUUCUAUUCUAGUUCUGUCAGCUCCUUGGUUUGUUUUUUUUUUUCCUUUUGAUUACAGGGCGUAUUUGCAAUGUGAUGUAGUGUAGCAGUAUUAUUUAAAAUAUGGCUAUUAAGCUUACCUACCAUUCUGAAAGCUAGGCAAACCUCAGAUCAUCCUGAAUGCUUUCCCAUCCAAACCUUAGCAGUGACAGAUUAGCUUAGCAAAGACCUUGCCUGGCUGUCCCAGCUGGUUUCUAUACUCAUUUCAAAAAUAUGUUUUCAUCAAAAGCUCUUCAGCUGACAGCGGAGUUGGGGGGCAAAUAAAACAGUAAAACUCCUGGCAAUUUAAUUUUUCAAUGAAAGCUUUGACCAAAAAAAAAAAAAGUUCAUUGUUAAAUCCUGCUCAUCUUCAGCGUUUUUUCUGAGUAGCUUUUUAAGGAACCUCUAGCUUUUAUUACCAAUUCCAGCUCAGAAACCAUCAGCCUUUCAGAGAGCUCAAAGGAAUUCUCAGCUGUCCCUGAGGACACUCCAGUCUACCAUGGUGGGUUAAGGUGGGUCAUCACAGCAUGAGAUACAUCUGGGAUGUCCAUACACGGGGCUGGUGAGUCAGUGCCUGGAGUUGUGGGACAAGGGCUUGGAGCAGCAGGCACUUUAAAAGCAAUGCUGCCAAGGGUUGCAGUCAUUAAAUCAUGGAAUAAUUUAGGGGGACCUCUGGAUAUCACCUACUCCAACUGCUUGCACAAAGCUGGGUUAAAAUUGUAAAAUACCUGCAUCACUUUAUUUAUUGUCUGAUCUAAUUUCAAAAUUGUCUCACCUUUCAUUCAAGGGUAGAAAUGCACCUCUGAAAAUGAAAUUUUGUAGUGGGUUUGCAAAAGGGCAAGUUGAGGUAACCCACUGCAAAGCUGCUGGCCAGAUCCACAGAUUUCCUACCCGGUCUUGCAGCUUUGUGCUUUCCUGCUAGGAAUGCUGCCUGUCUACAGGACAAUUGGUUAUUAUUUACAUGGAGGCACAAGAUCCUUGUAAUAAAAUGCCCAUCAAAGCACCAAAACAGUCAUCAGCGUGGGCUCAUUUUUUCUCUUGGUAUCAUUCAGAGCUCUAUACAAGUGUUUCCCAUGUUGACCCUUGCUGCAGAAAUUAGAAGAGCUUAGUUAUUAAAGCAAUGUGGUUUGAAAUUGCCUUGGUAGUUGCUAAGCACAUCUGUGAUUACAACAACUUAGAUUUGCCUAAAAACAUAAAGCUUUGAGUGAAAUAUUAGAGAAUCAAGGGAAAAUAAGGCUUUUAUGUGUAAAUGACAUAUGCUGGACAACCAAAAUAAAAAAACCUGCAUGUGGUUA